Molecule: non-coding RNA, 406 nt
Organism: Nomascus leucogenys (northern white-cheeked gibbon)
Lineage: Eukaryota; Metazoa; Chordata; Mammalia; Primates; Hylobatidae
Source: the annotation of a RefSeq genome assembly
UUUCUGAGAGUCCUGGACCUCCUGCACAAGAACAUGAAACACCUGUGGUUCUUCCUCCUCCUGGUGGCAGCUCCCAGAUGGGUCCUGUCCCAGGUGCAGCUGCAGGAGUCGGGCCCAGGACUGGUGAAGCUUUCGGAGACCCUGUCCCUCACCUGCGCUGUCUCUGGUGGCUCCAUCAGUGGUUACUACUGGGGCUGGAUCCGCCAGCCCGCAGGGAAGGGGCUGGAGUGGAUUGGGUAUAUCCAUAGUAGUGGGAGCACCAACUACAACCCGUCCCUCAAGAGUCGGGUCACCAUGUCAGCAGACACGUCCAAGAACCAGUUCUCCCUGAAGCUGAGCUCUGUGACCGCCGAGGACACGGCCGUCUAUUACUGUGCGAGAGACACAUCCUGGUAGGUACCAGAUG